Molecule: ribosomal RNA, 550 nt
Filed under: uncultured bacterium
Lineage: Bacteria
Description: bacterial SSU rRNA
Rfam family: Bacterial small subunit ribosomal RNA
Source: RNAcentral
UAGGGAAUCUUCCNCAAUGGACGCAAGUCUGACGGAGCAACGCCGCGUGAGUGAAGAAGGUUUUCGGAUCGUAAAACUCUGUUGUUAGAGAAGAACAAGUGCUAGAGUAACUGUUAGCGCCUUGACGGUACCUAACCAGAAAGCCACGGCUAACUACGUGCCAGCAGCCGCGGUAAUACGUAGGUGGCAAGCGUUGUCCGGAUUUAUUGGGCGUAAAGCGAGCGCAGGCGGUUCCUUAAGUCUGAUGUGAAAGCCCCCGGCUCAACCGGGGAGGGUCAUUGGAAACUGGGGAACUUGAGUGCAGAAGAGGAGAGUGGAAUUCCAUGUGUAGCGGUGAAAUGCGUAGAUAUAUGGAGGAACACCAGUGGCGAAGGCGACUCUCUGGUCUGUAACUGACGCUGAGGCUCGAAAGCGUGGGUAGCAAACAGGAUUAGAUACCCUGGUAGUCCACGCCGUAAACGAUGAGUGCUAAGUGUUGGAGGGUUUCCGCCCUUCAGUGCUGCAGUUAACGCAUUAAGCACUCCGCCUGGGGAGUACGACCGCAAGGUUG